This is a long non-coding RNA of Dermacentor albipictus, 1566 nucleotides long. RefSeq lists it as uncharacterized. NCBI's taxonomy places the organism in Eukaryota, Metazoa, Arthropoda, Arachnida, Ixodida, Ixodidae. The record is from RefSeq and is a predicted model, not a curated record.
CACUUCCAGAAUGGCAGGCUUACGUCCGUUGCCUUUUCAGAUGACGCUCACCUGGGUCGUGUGUUCCGGACUGCUUGGUUCAUGCCAUGUUGCUGCAGAGGAUCCGCUUACAGCACGGCCGCCAUGGUUGCGCAGAACGCCAAGUUUGGACACAACCAGACAGCUCAUCUGGCAACAUGGAUCCAGCACGACUACGGUGGACGCAACCGGCUGCCUUCAUAAACGUCAGCUGGCAGCCGCCUCACUUGGGCACGACACCACUUCCAGAAUGGCAGGCUUACGUCCGUUGCCUUUUCAGAUGACGCUCACCUAGGUCGUGUGUUCCGGACUGCUUGGUUCAUGCCAUGUUGCUGCAGAGGAUCCGCUUACAGCACGGCCGCCAUGGUUGCGCAGAACGCCAAGUUUGGACACAACCAGACAGCUCAUCUGGCAACAUGGAUCCAGCACGACUACGGUGGACGCAACCGGCUGCCUUCAUAAACGUCAGCUGGCAGCCGCCUCACUUGGGCACGACACCACUUCCAGAAUGGCAGGCUUACGUCCGUUGCCUUUUCAGGCGCCGGAAGUGCUGCCAGCGUCCAGCUGGUGCCACCUGGCACGGAGGCGCUCGCGAAUGGGUGCAGCUAUUGACCAAUAGGAGAGGAGGUCACCAGCGACCUUGAUCUACACGGACGCCACUCUUCACAGGUGCUUCUGGUUCCGGACUUCAAGCAUGGAUCGACAGUCAAGAGUUGCCGCGCAUCCUCCACACGCAGACGCCGUCGUAGUGCAACAAAGAGGAGGCAUUUCUACCAGCUAUGCCACCGGAAGAAAAGAGGUUCCUGGCCAAAGCCCAGCCAGCUUGCACGGGGCGGAAACACUAUCGGCACAUUGUGCCUGGUUGCUACCUUUUUAAGGUUUUGGUUUAGGUGAUGCAUAUAGGGCAACACUUCUGGAUGACUCCUAUUAACCGCGCAGCAUUCACCCGGGAACGGGCUGCUUUUGUUUUACGAAGAAGAACCUCUGCAAUCGCCGCCACGACCGCGGAAGCUUUCACUGCAUUAAGAAGUCACCUGAUAAAUAAAACUACUCUACUAUACAUGUGGGCACAAUUUUCCGAGAGCAGAUUCCACCAAACUUUAGCGAUUCCGCUCUUAACUAACCUUAGACAGCGCAGAAUCAUAUGGCAACGGAGACUUUGGUGCUACACACCCAAGAUACGUCUUCACCUAGAAACAAGCAUAAAUAUAAAAAAACUGCUGUGAGGCCUGAGACGGUCUCUCGUGGUUGAAGGACAAGCUCUUACCACGUUGCCGAUACGCGCAAAGCAUCAAAAUAACAGACUUGUCUUAACCCGCGUGGAACUCCUAUAAAAGGUUACAAAAAGAAACAUCUACUUGCCUAUAAACGUCGAGAAGAAUACUCUUGUCUAGAAGACUAUUCAAACAAUGGUCAACGUCCGCUAAGAUCUUGCAAAGAACUUGCGCAACGGAAGGGCCAAUGCAAAUGCCAUGUCACCGGCCUUGUGUACAGAACCCUUGUUCUCAAUUCCAGACCCUCCUCGUUUACUCCUGCACCUUCGCUCCU